Molecule: long non-coding RNA, 1520 nt
Filed under: Monodelphis domestica (gray short-tailed opossum)
Lineage: Eukaryota; Metazoa; Chordata; Mammalia; Didelphimorphia; Didelphidae
Description: lncRNA (ENSMODG00000030970.2)
Source: RNAcentral
UUCCAACUGAGAAAUUAUAUAGAGUGAUGCUAACCUCUCAGAGGGCCAAAGUUCACCAGGCAUCAUCAAUUUAAUAUCUGGAUGGUCUCCAGAUCCCCAGAAUGGAGUGGCUCUAGGCAUUUGAGGUCUGCCCUGACUUCUUAAUGCAACAUCCACAUCGCACUCAUCAGGUAUGGAGGAGACAUUGGAUUGAUGGAGAAGCAAACAAACUGGGCAGAGACACCUACCAAGAACGACCUCUGGCAGCGGAGAGAUGGAUGACAGCAGUGUACUGGGCCUUUUGGCAUCUUGACAUGGCUACAGCUAUUUUCUGGUUCGGUGGAAAUAAUACUGAAAAUUUCUACAACUGUGUGCAGACAUCCCCACCGUGGGUUGGACAGAUGAGAACAAUUUGUUCUAAUAGCCAUGAAGGCAACUGAAGCAGAUGUUGUGGUGCUCUUCAAGCAUGGUCAAACAAGGAAGACUGCUUGCAUCUUGGGACUCUCCGGUCAUCCUGACUUUUGUCAUCCUCUGGGACUUUGUUGACUCUUCAAGAGAGAAUGAAGCUGACAAGUUGGUGCAACUCUGUUUCACUGAAAUCCACUUCAAUCACAAAUCAAGUUAUCACCUCAUGAUGUCAUUGGUCCUCUUCUAAAAUGAAGGAUGAACAACUGAAAAUUUCAGUCAAACUCUACCUUAGACUCUUGUAGCCUUGCAACUCUAUUUAACCAAUAACUUCCAUUAUCUUCCUACUGAAAAGAAAAAAGAAAAAUCCUACCUGGAGUAUGUAUAAGUGUGUUUUGGGAUGAAGGGACUAAAAGAGGUUGAAUAGAGGAUGGGAUUCCAUAGGACGGAUCUCCAAGAACUUUAAACAAAAGAUUAUCUUGAAGGCAGCUUUUCCUUUCCAGCCCUAAUUAUUGCUCCAAGCAUCUCAACUGGGACCAAUUGGGACACUGACACCAGAAGGGGCUUCCAGAUUUUCCCCAGGUCACACAGUCAGUGGACUGCUGGCUGUGACAUAUUUGUGCUAACCACAACCUACUCAGGGAUCAAACCCCUUUUGGCCCUAGGAUUGUCACCUUUCUUGCAACAAAGGGUUUGGCCCAGUCUUCCCACCCACCAGGGGCAUUUUGCUUCGCCAAGCUGAACGUCUCUUGCUUAUUUCCUUUGAUGCUUUGGAAGCUGACUCAGAAACCCCACCAUGAGUUGUGACUUUGAUCCAUGUAAUAGAAUCAGGCAGAAGGAGACGCUCACAUGUGCCGAAAAUCCGGGUUGGAAGCCCACGUGGGGAAGGCGUGCGCUUUCAGUGUUUAAUGAGGGCAAGUUCUGGACAAACUGGGAAAUGGAGACUGAAAGAUGUAAACAGGAGAAGAUUAUCGCUAGAUUUUUAUAAUUGUCUGACAAAGCCCUCAGGGAAUGUGGAUAGUGACCAGAGGAGGGCCUCUCUCUCCCAUCAGAUGAUUAUUUGGGCUUGGCAGACAGAGUAGCGGUUUCUUGUCUUUCUCCAAUAAAGUUUAAUGUUCAAAGAAGAUUUUUUUAAA